Molecule: ribosomal RNA, 497 nt
Filed under: uncultured bacterium
Lineage: Bacteria
Description: partial 16S ribosomal RNA
Rfam family: Bacterial small subunit ribosomal RNA
Source: RNAcentral
GAUGAACGCUGGCGGCGUGCCUAAUACAUGCAAGUCGAGCGAACAGAUGAGGAGCUUGCUCCUCUGACUUUAGCGGCGGACGGGUGAGUAACACGUGGAUAACCUACCUAUAAGACUGGGACAACUUCGGGAAACCGGAGCUAAUACCGGAUAAUAUAUUGAACCGCAUGGUUCACUAGUGAAAGACGGUUUUGCUGUUACUUCUAGAUGGAUCCGCGCCGCAUUAGCUAGUUGGUAAGGUAAGGGCUUACCAAGGCAACGUUGCGUAGCCGACCUGAGAGGGUGAUCGGCCCCACUGUAACUUAGACACGGCCCAGACUCCGACGGGAGGCAGCAGUAGGGAAUCUUCCGAAAUGGGCGAAAGCCUGACGGAGCAACGCCGCGUGAGUGAUGAAGGUCUUCGGAUCGUAAAACUCUGUUAUUAGGGAAGAACAAAUGUGUAAGUAACUAUGCACGUCUUGACGGUACCUAAUCAGAAAGCCACGGCUAACUACGUG